Long non-coding RNA from Rhipicephalus microplus (southern cattle tick), 349 nucleotides. The record is from RefSeq and is a predicted model, not a curated record. NCBI's taxonomy places the organism in Eukaryota, Metazoa, Arthropoda, Arachnida, Ixodida, Ixodidae.
GGUGCCCUCCUCCUAGCUUCUACGAUCCUUAUCUCACCUACCCCGGUGGAUGGCCUUUUUGCUGUGGCACAAACCCUCAGUGAUAUUCCUUGUACGAUUCGUUUCAGGCUACGUAAAAUUCAUAGAAUUCGCCUUUGAGCAUUCCCACACUUUUGUGAUAACCUAUUGGUGGCUACUUCAGGAAACUCAGUAUAACCAACUAGAUGAAAGAAAAACAACAAAUCUGCAUUAUAUUGCUUUAUUAUUUCCAUUGCAAUCACCUUUAUUUAGCGAUAUUCUGUUAUGGUGGGCUUUUCCAUACAGUUGGUUCGUAAUUGAAAAUAAAAAAGUUAUCUUCAAGAAGGUUUCU